RNAcentral lists this ribosomal RNA (497 nucleotides) under uncultured bacterium. Its description in RNAcentral is "partial 16S ribosomal RNA". It matches the Rfam family "Bacterial small subunit ribosomal RNA", at positions 28 to 507 of the family's 1533-position model. The record is from RNAcentral.
GACGAACGCUGGCGGCGUGCCUAAUACAUGCGAGUUGAGCGAUGAAGAUUGGUGCUUGCACCAAUUUGAAGAGCAGCGAACGGGUGAGUAACGCGUGGGGAAUCUGCCUUUGAGCGGGGGACAACAUUUGGAAACGAAUGCUAAUACCGCAUAACAACUUUAAACAUAAGUUUUAAGUUUGAAAGAUGCAAUUGCAUCACUCAAAGAUGAUCCCGCGUUGUAUUAGCUAGUUGGUGAGGUAAAGGCUCACCAAGGCGAUGAUACAUAGCCGACCUGAGAGGGUGAUCGGCCACAUUGGGACUGAGACACGGCCCAAACUCCUACGGGAGGCAGCAGUAGGGAAUCUUCGGCAAUGGACGAAAGUCUGACCGAGCAACGCCGCGUGAGUGAAGAAGGUUUUCGGAUCGUAAAACUCUGUUGGUAGAGAAGAACGUUGGUGAGAGUGGAAAGCUCAUCAAGUGACGGUAACUACCCAGAAAGGGACGGCUAACUACGUG